AAUCGAUCAUCACAUUUGCUUGCAGUAAGUGGCUGCUCAUUUCUUGUUCAAAGGUCAUUUUGCAUCAUAUUCUUAGGGAUGUUCUUCGAACAAAAUGCAGCUUGAAAAGUCUAUUUGCAAGAGCUUAAGCUUGUUUUAUUUACAGUGAAGAUUGAAGAGAGAGGAAAGAAAUGAAAACUUGGAUUCUUGCAGCAUUUUGAGAUUGAACUUGAUCGUCUAAG
RNAcentral lists this unclassified non-coding RNA (221 nucleotides) under Hevea brasiliensis (rubber tree). The record is from RNAcentral. Lineage: Eukaryota; Viridiplantae; Streptophyta; Magnoliopsida; Malpighiales; Euphorbiaceae.